UUGAGUCUCGUAGAGGGGGGUAGAAUUCCAGGUGUAGCGGUGAAAUGCGUAGAGAUCUGGAGGAAUACCGGUGGCGAAGGCGGCCCCCUGGACGAAGACUGACGCUCAGGUGCGAAAGCGUGGGGAGCAAACAGGAUUAGAUACCCUGGUAGUCCACGCCGUAAACGAUGUCGACUUGGAGGUUGUGCCCUUGAGGCGUGGCUUCCGGAGCUAACGCGUUAAGUCGACCGCCUGGGGAGUACGGCCGCAAGGUUAAAACUCAAAUGAAUUGACGGGGGCCCGCACAAGCGGUGGAGCAUGUGGUUUAAUUCGAUGCAACGCGAAGAACCUUACCUGGUCUUGACAUCCACGGAAGUUUUCAGAGAUGAGAAUGUGCCUUCGGGAACCGUGAGACAGGUGCUGCAUGGCUGUCGUCAGCUCGUGUUGUGAAAUGUUGGGUUAAGUCCCGCAACGAGCGCAACCCUUAUCCUUUGUUGCCAGCGGUCCGGCCGGGAACUCAAAGGAGACUGCCAGUGAUAAACUGGAGGAAGGUGGGGAUGACGUCAA
Molecule: ribosomal RNA, 546 nt
Filed under: Escherichia coli
Lineage: Bacteria; Pseudomonadati; Pseudomonadota; Gammaproteobacteria; Enterobacterales; Enterobacteriaceae
Description: bacterial SSU rRNA
Rfam family: Bacterial small subunit ribosomal RNA
Source: RNAcentral